UGCAAAUUUGAAGGUCACCUACCUCCAGGU
This 30-nucleotide non-coding RNA is filed under the name Mus musculus (house mouse). Lineage: Eukaryota; Metazoa; Chordata; Mammalia; Rodentia; Muridae. The record is from RNAcentral.